UACGUAGGGGCUAGCGUUAUCCGGAAUUACUGGGCGUAAAGGGUGCGUAGGUGGUUUCUUAAGUCAGAGGUGAAAGGCUACGGCUCAACCGUAGUAAGCCUUUGAAACUGAGAAACUUGAGUGCAGGAGAGGAGAGUAGAAUUCCUAGUGUAGCGGUGAAAUGCGUAGAUAUUAGGAGGAAUACCAGUUGCGAAGGCGGCUCUCUGGACUGUAACUGACACUGAGGCACGAAAGCGUGGGGAGCAAACAGGAUUAGAUACCCCGGUAGUCCCUGAG
RNAcentral lists this ribosomal RNA (276 nucleotides) under uncultured prokaryote. RNAcentral's name for it is "partial 16S ribosomal RNA". It matches the Rfam family "Bacterial small subunit ribosomal RNA", at positions 524 to 801 of the family's 1533-position model. The record is from RNAcentral.